GGACUGUGACUCAAUGGAAGAGCAUCUGCUUGUAAAGUAGGAGGUCCAGGUUCAAUCCCUGUGAUCUCCA
RNAcentral lists this transfer RNA (70 nucleotides) under Sphaerodactylus townsendi. RNAcentral describes it as "tRNA-Tyr". Lineage: Eukaryota; Metazoa; Chordata; Lepidosauria; Squamata; Sphaerodactylidae. The record is from RNAcentral.